This 480-nucleotide ribosomal RNA is filed under the name Bacillus licheniformis. RNAcentral describes it as "partial 16S ribosomal RNA". The stretch from base 28 to 381 matches the Rfam family "Bacterial small subunit ribosomal RNA", at positions 61 to 347 of the family's 1533-position model. Lineage: Bacteria; Bacillati; Bacillota; Bacilli; Caryophanales; Bacillaceae. The record is from RNAcentral.
GGGAAGUGCAGGCAGACUAUACAUGCAGUCGAGCGGACAGAUGGGAGCUUGCUCCCUGAUGUCUAGCGGCGGACCGUUGAGUAACACGUGGGUAACCUGCCUGUAAGACUGGGAUAACUCCGGGAAACCGGGGCUAAUACCGGAUGCUUGAUUGAACCGCAUGGUUCAAUUAUAAAAGGUGGCUUCUGCUUCCCCUUACAGAAGGGACCCCGGCGCCUUCACUAAGUGGGGAGGGAACCGGCCGCCAAGGGGAACUAGCGUUACCAUCCUGAGAGGGGUAAUGGCCUUGAUGGCAAGUAUAUGUUCCCAUAACUUCUUUAUCUUAGUACUGGAUUGGUAUUCUCCAUUAACCUCAAAAAGCUUACUAAACACCUGCGGGGGUUGCGAAUGGGUCACGACCUAAACCCUCUUCUCACGAAAUUAACCUUUUACGCCAUAACGGCCGUCCUCCCCAUCAGGAUACCCAAUCUCCAGAUCUGU